This 789-nucleotide small RNA is filed under the name Pongo abelii (Sumatran orangutan). Its description in RNAcentral is "retained intron". Lineage: Eukaryota; Metazoa; Chordata; Mammalia; Primates; Hominidae. The record is from RNAcentral.
CGACGGUGGGGAAGAUGGCGUACCAGAGCUUGCGGCUGGAGUACCUGCAGAUCCCACCGGUCAGCCGCGCCUACACCACUGCCUGCGUCCUCACCACCGCCGCCGUGCAGUUGGAAUUGAUCACACCUUUUCAGUUGUACUUCAAUCCUGAAUUAAUCUUUAAACACUUUCAAAUAUGGAGAUUAAUCACCAACUUCUUAUUUUUUGGGCCAGUCGGAUUCAAUUUUUUAUUUAACAUGAUUUUUCUGUAUCCUUUAUUAAAUGGGGUCAGCAUCAAAACUUUUUCUUAGGAAGUAAAAAAGUAAGUUGAAAUUUUUAAUCCUGUUAUUUGUUUUUGGUACCAUCUUAGCCGUGAUUUCUGGGUCAGUGGUACAUAAAGUUAGUUGGUUAGGUAGUAAUGUUUUGAAAAUGUUUGUAGGUCACUUUGUUCAAAUGGGAGGUUUUAACCAUAAAAAGAUAGCACUUCUGCUCUUUUGUUACUUACAAAUCUGAUCAAGGGAGGGGAGAAUUGAUUUAAUUGAGGCAUACCUCCACAGUAACACCAACAGGUACAAGGUGGUAAAACAAUCUGAAUACAAUGAUAAUUUAGCAGAAUUUGGGCAUAAGUUUUGGAGUGGGUUCAUGAGGAGUGGGAACUUGAGAUCUCCUUGGGUCCUGGUUGCUGGAACUUCUGGCUGAAAGACAGUGGUUGUGUCUGCUGGGCUUGUCAAGUUCCGGUUUGUUGAAAGGAAAACCCCAGCUCUGAUCCAGUGGCAUUUGGGGCCACGGAGCAGGGCAUUCCUCCUCCAC